This is a long non-coding RNA of Rhododendron vialii, 902 nucleotides long. RefSeq lists it as uncharacterized. The transcript is spliced from 2 exons. The record is from RefSeq and is a predicted model, not a curated record. NCBI's taxonomy places the organism in Eukaryota, Viridiplantae, Streptophyta, Magnoliopsida, Ericales, Ericaceae.
UGUUGAUUCUGAAACUAGACUUGUAUGUCUUUCGGAAUAUGUGAAGUUUGUGGCUUAGUUUGUAUCAAGUUAAAUCAGUUUUUGAUUUGAAGUUGAUAGACGCGCAGAAUCUGUGAUUUUGGACAGAUUUUUGUGUAAUUUUGGACGAGCAUAACUUUGUUGUCCGGACUCCGUUUUUAAAAAAUUUUAUAUCAAAAUUCAUGUAUCAGAGGUGUAGUUUCUAAUGGUUGUGGUUUCAUGAUCUGGUUUUAACUCUAUAAGAAGUUAUAGGCAGAAUACGAUAGGCUGGUCAUAGAUUUCAAACCAAAUGUAGGGGUUAUGUGGUGUUUGAGUGUUACGCUUGUUUAGGGACACUUCUAAACCUUUGAGAUGGACAUGCUAGUAUGCGUUAAGCAUCUUUAAUCUAUUGUUGGUGUUAUAGAUUGUUGUUAGAAGUUAGUUUUGACAUUUAACUGUUCAAUAAACUGAUAUGGUUAAUUUGUGGUUAGGUGUCAAGCUAGUCAAUUAGGAGGGGCCGAAACUGUAAGUUUGGCGUACCUCGGUCGAUACAAAGGUAGUAGGUUGCUUAGAGUGGGUCCACUACCGGUCGUCGCGUUGAGGUGUUUUGCUAGCGUCAGGUGGGGUUUUGGUUACGUUGUUGUAGAGUGCUUUGGCUGGUGCAGAACUUAAUUUGUAAGGAGUUAUAACUAAGGAUAGUUAAAGCUUUUAAAUUGUACAGGUUGUAAUUAAGUUUGGUCGAUGGCUGGCGUUCUAUUUGAGGUUAGCCUUGGACGUUGUGGAUAGUCGAGUUCAUUGUAGGUAGUUGAUGAAGAAGUUGGUUUAUUCAAGUUGUAAGUAAGUCGUCGGUGGAUGUGUUGAAGUAUAGAAUUUUUAAAGUAUAAAUUUUUUAAAGUACUAUAAUG